CAUUCUUUCACUGCGGACCAUGCUAAAGCAGGCAGUGGACCCUUUGAACCUUGGCCCCUAUUUUGCCGACCCUCCCUGAGCCAGACACCAGGGAAGGGGCACAGGGAGCUGGCUACUUAUUGACAGCUUCAAUUCAUGCAGACUUUCAGGGCUGCUUUUUACUAUCAAAAACAGAAUCUACUUCUCAAUAAGAGAGAUGAUAUAAAUGAUGUCACUUUUACUGGUAAUUUCAAAGUUUGGGUUUAGUCGUGUAGAAGAUUAGCACUGGUUUUCUUUGUCAUAUUAAAUGUGGAAAAUUGCUAAGGGCUAUGGAAUAAAAGCUUUGAUUGACACAUUGUCAAAAGACUAGAAUACACAGGAAUUGUUUAGAUUAGGUUGUGUGGUUUUGUUUUGUUUUUCUUUUUUUUUUUUGUCUUUUUAGGGCCCCACUUGCGUGCGGCAUACAGAAAUUCCCAGGCUGGGGGUCAAAUCGGAGCUGCAGCUGCCAGCCUACACCACAGCCACAGCAACUCGGGAUCCGAGCCUCAUCUGCAACCUACACCAUAGCUCACAGCAACGUCAGAUCCUUAACUCACUGAGUGAGGCCAGGGACUGAACUCUCGGAUCCUCAUGGAUCUUAGUUGGUUCAUUAACUGCUGAGCCACGAGCCACGAGCCACGACGGGAGCUCCCUAGAUUUGUUUGAUGUAAAAGCUUCAUUUAAGGGAAAGAACUGCUUUCAAGUUCUUCAGCUUUUGUCAUUUCUGUUUUGGUGCAUUGUGUCCCUGUCGGAUGAUUGGUGCAUCUUAGGGUGGUCAUUCAGAGCUGGAAAGUAGAUUGUCUCUAAUGUUUACCCUUUCUUGGCAUUGCAGUUUCCUAAAAAAUCUGAAAUAAGAGCCAAAUGGUCCUCUCUACAGGUGGAGCCAAAAAAAAAAAAAAAAAGGAAAGGAAAAAAAGAAUUGAGAGACGAGAUGAAAAUUAUAAGAGGUGGUAUGAGGAUUAGCUAGUUCACACAAUUGACUUUUGCUCUGCUGGAAUAAUGACAUAAUUUUGAUGGUUGAACCACACGAGGUAAAACACAUGCCAGUACUUGAGCAAUUUUAUGAUUAUCUCCUUGAGAGGAUGGGGUGAAGUAUGAUUCUCCUCUGUGUAAUAGCAUAAUAAUCUGGCUUGAUUCUUUUUAGAAGUCAUUGAGGUAAGUUGAGUUAGUGUUUAAAUAGUGACCUCGAAGACAUGGACAAUGGCGAAGAGGACUCUGCUCGUCCUGAGACUGUGCUGAGCGCCGUGGCUUCUUAAUCAAAGCAACAGUUAGCUCGGACGACCCCUUUCCCCAAGGUUUUAUUUCAUCUUGCGGUGUACAUGGGAGAGCUUCUGAAGAGGCUGAGUGCCAAGCCAGGUGGUUUAGUUCUGUGGCCCACCUUUUUAAGGAGGGGAAAAGGAGAGUAAAUUUUAGCAAGUUUCCUUUUGCUAAACUUUCUUAUUUAGUAGAGUAGUCCCUACAUUCAUUCAUAGGAGAUUUUUGAUUUUGUUUUGUUUUAAAUAGCUCAAUUGUAAGAAAAACUAUUGUAUACCCAAUAAAGGGCAACUGUAUAGAAAUGCUGGCCAUUUCCAUCCUUGGCAGUACCAGGUCUCUGAAGGUGUAGGAAGUAUGAAAUACUCCGAGUGAGAGAGUUGAUGAUUUCUGAACUGAAUUGUGGAAUUUGUUGUUUUAAGAAACUCUUGGACUAGGGGAAGAAACCAAAACAAAUCCCAAAACAUUUCCAGUUCAACCCUCCUGCAACCUGGGAUCUUCUGUAAGGCUUUCAGGGUGGAUCCCAGGCCGUGUUGAGGGGCUUAGGAAUUCAGCAGACCUCUGGCUGCUCCUAGUCAUUGUGAGAAUACGUUGUUUACUGCCUGAGCUAUGACAGCAUAGGGUAGUGGUCUUCAGAGUGGGCUGCUGCUUCUCCAAGGAAUAUGAUGUGCAGAAUGAUCCAUUGGGAUGCAGGGGAAGCACCGCAAGUCCUGUUUUAAAGUUUUAGUAGUGGCUGGAUAUAUAUGUGAUUGUGCAUGUUUUGGGAUGUAUGCUUCUUGUCUACUUUGGGAGCUAGGCAGUUGUAAGAACACCCCUACAGUGGCUUAUGCGGCCUCUCUAACCCCUGACCUUACUAUUAGUCAUCUGCUCCCCUCUUCCCCCCUCCCCAUUCCAGCCCAUGUGGCCUUUUUGCUGAUCCUGAAAGGCUUCUGAACCGUGACCCACAGCAGCCUUUGCCCUGGUGGUUCCCUCUGCCUGUAAUGCCCUUCUCCAGAGGCUCCCCUUGAUGCUCUUGGCUAAUGCCCUCACCUCCUCAAAGGCUUUGCUCAAGAGUCGUUUCUCAGUGAGGCCUUUCUUGACCACCUUUUUAAUGCAGCAGCAUACUCUGAAGCCUCCUUGUAUUGCUCUGCUUUUCCUUUUUCCUUAGCACUCACUGCCUUUGGAGAAACUGUAUUAUAUCUGUUGGCUCUUGUUUCCCCAGCAGAAGUAAGAUCCUUGAGGCCAGGACUCGCCUUCUCCUUUGUUCACAGAUGCGUUCCUGUUGCUUAUUAGAACUGUGCCCGUUCAGUACAUUCUGCUGAAUGAUUAAAGCCUCUGGCGCGUAGUAGGCUCAGUAGGCUUCUUUUAAUGAAUGAAUAAAUUAUUUAGGGAAAUUGGAAAUAUAAAAAUGAAUAAAAUAUGCUCUAUGCCCUGAAGUAGUUCUAUGUAGCUGUGAAGACCAAACAUAAGAAAAUAAUUUUCAACUUGUGAGACCUGUGUGGUAGAAUCGUGAGGGGGCCGAGGGUGGAAUUGAGCCGAUCGUGACUGACUGUCUGUGGGCGGAGAAGGCAGGCAGACUCAGUGCCUCUGAAAGGGGUGAUGCUAAAUGUAAAAGCUUUAAAUACCCGGGAACCCACGCAAACCUAGAGCUUGUUUAUCCAAUGAGUGUGUAGGAUGGACUUUGAAAUGAGGAUUUUUAACAUCGAGAUUACGGUUUUAUUUUUUAUUUGUUUUUAAAGAAUGAGAUGAAUAAUUGUCUGAUCUUAAGAGAUAGAUCUUGCAGAAAUUUUCAAAUGCAUAUUUUUUUCCUGGGCAAACUAUUCACCAGAAAAGAAAGUGCUUUUCUACACACAUUUACCAACCCUUGGUUCCUUUCUCCCUCUUUCAGCCUGUACUUUCCAUGCCUUGGGCAAAAAGUUUGGGUUAUUUUCACCCACCUGAAAUCCCUAAGUAUUUAUUGGUUAAAAACUCAGAGUAGGUACCUAGCACUGUAAAAGAGUAGUAUCUCUUUAUGAAAAUAUGUAGGGGUGGAAAUUGCUUGCUGGAAAUGCAUUGAUCUC
This 3308-nucleotide long non-coding RNA is filed under the name Sus scrofa (pig). RNAcentral describes it as "lncRNA (ENSSSCG00030064508.1)". Lineage: Eukaryota; Metazoa; Chordata; Mammalia; Artiodactyla; Suidae. The record is from RNAcentral.